This 345-nucleotide long non-coding RNA is filed under the name Brassica napus (rape). Its description in RNAcentral is "long non-coding RNA (BNAP_LNC012101)". Lineage: Eukaryota; Viridiplantae; Streptophyta; Magnoliopsida; Brassicales; Brassicaceae. The record is from RNAcentral.
UUUGAAUUAGAAAGAAGAGAUUGAGAUUAUAAGUUAAGGAAUUGUGGGUUUAGAAUUUGAGUUUGGAAUGGAAAGAAGAGAUUGAGGUUAAAGGGAAGAUGGGUUUGGGUUUUGUAAUAUAUGAAGUAGAAGAUAAGGAAGAUGGGGUUUCGGGUUUGGGGUUUGGGGUUUUGGAUUUUAGGGAUUUAAACAUAAUCCUUGUUAAUUCCUCGUAAACUAACGAGAAACUUACGACGAAUCCUAAAAAUAAAGAACGCGGGACUCGUUAAUUCCACGUAAGCAGAAUUCGUCGUAAAGACCUCGUAAUAGAAAAACGCGAGCCUUUUUAUUUCCUCGUAAAUAAAA